RNAcentral lists this long non-coding RNA (39147 nucleotides) under Solanum lycopersicum (tomato). RNAcentral describes it as "long non-coding RNA (SLYC_LNC000081)". Lineage: Eukaryota; Viridiplantae; Streptophyta; Magnoliopsida; Solanales; Solanaceae. The record is from RNAcentral.
UGGUAAAUUUUAUGAUUUUUUUUUCUCUAAUUGUGAUUUGAUUUGAUUUUCGUUUUCUACUUUAUUGAUUUCUAUUAUUUUUUUCGAUUUUUGGUUUUGAGAAAGCCCAAUGAUGGAAAAUCUAUGUAUAUUGAGCGGCUGUGAUGGUUAUAGAUUCAUCCGUUGCCUUUAUGCAUCACCUGAAUAUCAGCGGCAACCGCCAUUCUUUCUCCCUUUCCUUGUCUCCUUCAACAUCACACACUAAAGCACACUUGCACUUUUGCCGCUGAUGUUUAUGGUGAUGUAUGAAAGGCUUCUGAUGAGUUCCAUCACGAUUUAGCUGUCUGUGAUUUUGAAGCUAUGAGAUCUGAGGGCUCUUUUACAGUUUUAUUUCUCUCAAAUAUUCAGUACAGAUACAAUCCCCUUUGUGGGUGUAUAAAUUUGCAUAACCACUAAUUAUUUGUAAUUGCUUGUGUUUUGUAUAAUUAAUGUGAAUUUUUAAAAUAGGGUUCGAGUGAUUUUAAAUGUCUUACAGUUCAUAAACUAAUGAAAUCAAGUUUAUCUGACAUAUAAUGAGCAAAUUACAAAAAAUUUAUUCAAUAAUUAUUAUAUUUAAAUUAUAAUUUUGUUAUUUGACUACUCUUCCAUAAAGCAUAGGAAGAUUUUGCGCACACGACAACGAGAAAAAACUGAUUAUGAUUAAAAAAAUGUUUUGUAUAUUGAAUGGUGUAAAUAAUAUUUAUUAAAUUACGGGUUAUCUCAAACCUUAUAUGAAAUAAUAAAAAAAAAAUCGAUGAUUGAUAUUUUAAAAAACUAAAAGCAUUACUGGAAUCACUCUCUGUCUGCACCUUUUGGUAGCCAUUGGUUUUGCAUCACGACGUUCCAAAGAGUAACGCUGCCGCAACAAGUAGUUUUAAUAGUGAUUCCCAUUUUUGCUACUCUAGCAUCAGUUGGGAGCCUAUCUUAACUCAUCCCAAAAUUUUUUAUGAAACAGAGAGAACGAUGAGCAAGAAGAAAGAAUUUUAAUUUUUUGGAUUGUUACACUAGGAUUUUGAAUUCUUGAUAAUAAUUUUGAAUGGAAUAACGUAUUUUGUGAAAUUUUAAUUUAAUUUUCAGUUUUUCUCCUUAAUUAGUGGAACAAAUAGAUACUAUAAGAUUAUAAAUUGAUUUUAAUGUUUUUUUUCUCUUAAUAAGUGCAAUACUAUAAGAUUAUAAAUUGAUUUUAUACUUUUUUUCUCUUAAUAAGUGCAACAGAGAUAGAAAGUAAUUUAGAAUUUACACUAUGGUAUUUAUGUAAUGUAUACUUGAUAUUUUAUGAGUCACGUCGGGCUAGUCCAUUUUUGGUGUGGACUUAAAAAUAGUCGGUUCAACCUACAAACAUGUGGGCUAGGCUGGAUGGGCCAAACUAUUUUUAAAAAAUUAUAUAUUUUUUAAUUUUAAUCUAAAUUACAAAUUAUAAUUUAAAAAUAUUAUCAUAAAUAUCAAUAAAAUAAUAUCACACGAUGUUAAUGUUACUACUUUUUAAUCAAAUUCACGAAUAAAAUUGUCUUUAUAAAAAUAUUUGUUAAGGUAAGUUACCAUUUUAAAAAGGGAAAAAUGGUCUGAUAUACCCCUCAACUUUGUCAUUUAGAGCUGAUAUACCCCUUGUUAUGAAAGUGACUCAUAUAUACCCCUACUUGUAAACACAUGGCUCUCAUAUACCCUUUUCCUCUAACGGAAAUGAAAAAAAUAAUAAUUUUAAUCUAAAUUUUUAUUAUUUUUUUCUAAAAAAUAUAAUCCCAUAUGAGUAAAUUUAAUCCUCGUCAAACAUAUUUUUUUUUGACUUUUUUUUGUUUCAGUGACUAAUUUAUAAUUAUUAUUUUGAUAAUCAAAUUUAUUUAUGUUUCACUAAUUAAAACUUAUUGUAGAUGACCAAAUUUUUUCUUCGAAUAUAAAAUUAAAUUACAAUACACACAUAAAAAAAUAGUUUAACUUUUUAUUCUUUAAACUAAGGAAUGAAAGAAAAAAGACAAAAUAAGAAUAAGAAAUUCAAAUAAUUAUAAUAAAAGAAGUCAAAAAAUAAUUUAUAUAUGAAAAAAAUUAAAAUAUACCUUGAACUUUGAUAGAAGAAUCAUAUAAACCCCUAAAUAAUUUUUUUAAAAAAAUUAGAAGUAAUAAAUAUAAAUUUAAAACUAAUUUUUUAACUUCCAUUAAAUGAAGGGUAUAUGUGAGCCAUUUUGUAACGGCAGGGGUAUAUGUGAGCCGUUUGUAUAACGGUAAGGGCAUAUAUGAGCCACUUUUAUAACGAGGGGUAUAUCAGCUCCAAAUGACAAAGUUGAGGGGUAUAUCAGACCCUUUUCCCUUUUAAAAAGGGAAAAAUUAUACGGAUAAGCAAACUUAUAUUAUCUAAUUACUCAUCACAGCUAUAGUUUGCUAUAAUUACCACUCGCGACUAACAUUAUACAUUAAUUACGUGGGCUAACUUCGAAUUUGUAUAAUUAGUCAUUUUUGUAUAUGUAUAAUUUCUCAGAAUAUACAAAUAAAUAUGCAUAAUAUACAAGUUUUUAGUCUAUACACAUAUAUAAUUCACCGCUCUCCCACACUCUACCCUCUCUCGCUUGCCUCUCUCCUCUCUCUCCUAGUCACGCUUGCCUCUCUCCUCCCUUUCGCAAUCUCUCUUGCCAUAUAUACAAUUACAUAUGUAUAAUAUACAAUUAUCUAACAAAUAUACAUAUAUAAUUAACCUUUCUCCCACUCUUUUCCCCCUCUCUCUCGUCUCUCUCCUCUCUCUUCCAGUCUCACUCGCCUCUCUCCUCUAAAUAACAUGUAUCUAUAAAUUGUAAUUAUCAAAUUAUAACUAUGAAGAGUAAAUUAUUAUUUUUUUAAGUGGCUAUAUGUGAAAGUUUCCCAUUAAAAAAAUUUAUUAAGUUUUUUUUAAGUAUGAAUAGUUAUAUAGAAAUAUUAACCUAAUUGUUUUGAGUUUAAACUCUCUUUAAUUUUAGGGCAACUUUCACAUAUAGCAAAUAAAAAAUUUAUAUUUGUAUGUUAUAGCAAAAUUUGCAUAAUUGCGCUCCAUAGCAAACAUAGAAAUUGUAUAAUUCGCUAUACAAAUACAGUUGAAGCAAAUUGUAUAAAACGAAGUGUAUAAAACAAGAAAGAGAAGAACACUUUGGCAGAGAACUGUAUAAAAACAAAGUGUAUUAUCAUAAGUGUAUAGAACAGUUAUAUACAAUUUGAAUUUGUAUAAAAUGAGAAAGAGAGAAAGACAAAACAGACUUGACAAGGAAUAUACAAUUGAAUCGAAUUGUAUAAAACAAGAAAGAGAGAAAUUAGAUACAAUUUGAAAAUUGUAUAAAACAAGAAAGAGAGCAAGCAAAAGAAACUGGACAGAGAAGUAUUUUAUUGUAUAAUUAUAAGUGUAUAGGACGAAAAUAUAUGUACUUGCAUGUGUAUAUACAAUUUUCUCGCGCUUUAUACAAACAGAAAACGCAAUUUAUACAUUUCUCUUCUGUUUGUAUAAGUGAGAAAGGCGAGGGUGGCGAGCGAGAUUUGGGAGAGUGGCGACCGAGAUCUAGAAGAGGGGAGAGAGGGGAACAAAAAUAUAUGUAUUUAUACAAUUUUCUCUGCUUUAUACAAUUAGAAACAAUUUUUAUACGCUUGUGUUUUGUAUAAAAAGUGAGGAAGCGAGCGGAGAUUGGAGGAGAAUGUCGAGAGAUAUUUGGGAGAGAGGCCAUGACAAUUUUCUGCAAACGUUUGCUAUGGAGCACAAUUAAAUCAAACCCUAGCUACUCCAUUUAUUUUAGGUUAUUAGUUUGUUAUUAUAUAUAAUUUUUCCUUAAUUUUAUUAUAUUUUUCAAUUAAAUUUUAUUGGCCCACGAUCCGGCCCUACCGAUAUUUCUCAAGCCUCUCAAAUCAACAGACUUAUUCAAGACGGGCUAAAAAGCCUUUUUCUUAAAUGGGUUCCAAAAAUCUUAGCCCAGCAUUACUAAAUUUCGGGUCAGGCCGGCCCAACGGUCCUAGCCCAUAUUGACGGCUCUACAGAGGCUGAUAGGUCUAAGCUCUGAGAGGUGCUGUGGAAAACUCACCUUGAGAAUAAGAACAAUAUUUGAGUGAGUGAACCUUAUAGGCAAGGUAGAUCCACAAAAGUAAGCAUUCAUGGUUUGAGUGAUAUCAGGGCCAAUAAUCGACCAACAACUUGGAAAAAAUUUAGCACUGAAUCCAUCCGGUCCUGGGGCGCUAUCUGGAUCCAAAGAGAAAACGGUUUCUUUGAUCUCUUUGUUAGUAGGAAACGCAGUCGACAACCUAUUGGUGUCAUCUAUAAUAGAGGCUUCAAUGAAAUUCAGUUAUGAGAAAUCAUUCCUAUCAGGAUUCUGGCAAAAAAUGCCUUGAAAGUAUUUCACAGCUGCUUCAGCUACCCCCUUGUUUCCUUUUACCCAUUGCCAAUGUUCAUCUUGGAUCUUGUUGAUUUGAAGUCUUCUUCUUUUGUCUUUCAAACAUUAUGAAAAUAAGAGUUGGUGUCACCCUCAGUAAACUACUUGACUUUUGCCUUUUGUCUCAUGAUAGAAUCUUGAAUUUUAAGAUACUUGCUGUGAUUAGCCUUAUGUGAUGUUCCGCCACAAUUCCAGCCUGAUUUGGCGUCCGAAUAUGAGCAGAAGGAUCUAGAGUUGUGAAGAGGUUUGCAGAGAACUCUAGAACCUUCUAGAUUUCUGGAGAAGACUAGAGAAUUCUCUAGAAUACUUUAGAUACUUUUGAAAGAGAUUAGCAUAUUCUAGAAAGUGUAGAAUUCUCUAGAAUAUGGACUAAAAUGUAAAUAUUUUAGGGACUUGUAGAGUAAUUUUUAUUUACACUUAGACCCUUAGGAGGUAGUAUAAAUAGAAGGGCCUCUCAUUUGUAAAUGCAUCCAACCAAAACAAAAUUGUAAGCAAGUUUUCCAAGUAUAAUACAAGUCUUCUUCCAAAGUUCUUUCUAAGUCAUUCUUUACAUUCUCUUAAUGAUCUAAGUCUUAAAGUCUUACUUGAGCUUACAAGAUCGUGAAAUAUUCGUGAGUAAGUUGUCAAGUGCCGCACGGAGUCUUAGCAAAUACUCUAAGUCCGUGACACUUAACCUUUUUCAAAUUGGUUCUAUUGGUAUCAUUAGUCCCCGCUAGAUUGACUUGUUCAAGAUCCACAAUGUCCUUUUCAAGCUUUUUGGUCUCGUUAUAGAUAUUACCAUAAACUUCUCUAGACCAGUUGCUCAACCUCGAGGCUGUAGUUUUGAGCUUUUGGUGUAUGCUCCACAUUUUGGAUUACCUUGAACCUCAAGUAGGCAAGCUUCCUUGACAACGUCCAGGAAUAACUCAUGUUUUGUCCAGACAUUAAGAAAUUUGAAAUAUUUCUUAUGCUCGUCUUCUUUGUCAUUAAGUUUGAUCAAAAGUGGAACAUGAUGUGAGCAAACCCUUGCCAAGUGAGUGACUGAUGUUUUUCCAAACCAAGAAGCAUUGUAUAACAUCCUGUCCAGCUUUUUCAAACUGUAUUGGGAGCCCCUCUAUUAUUGCUCCAAGUGAAUUUAGCCGCAUCCUGGAUCCCCGAAUCAAUCAUACAGUUGAGGAAGUCAAAACUUUUCCCAAUUUCUAUAAGGAAUGCCGCCUUCUUUUUCAUUAACAGAACCAAUAACAUUAAAGUCACCAACUGCUGUCCAAGGACCUUGGAUUAUUGAGGAUAGAGUUGACUUCAGAGAUCUUUUCUUAGAGUGUCUUCGCACUUAGCAUAAAUAGUAGCAAUGUGGAUCACAUUACCAUUAGGGAGGACAAUUUUGCAAGUUAGUUCAAAAGAUCCAAAUUUUAUUAUUGCUGCUCACUUGUUUUACAUUUUCCAAAUCACAGAUGUAAAAUAAAACCAUAACAGUUGUAUAAAUAUUUAACUAUUGAAAGACAAAUUAAUUCUUGCAUAAUAUUUUCUUAAUUAAUGUUUAUUCAUUUUUUAAUUGACUCACCUAUUAAAAAAAUAAUUAUUGACAUAAUAAGUUAAUUAUGAAGUGAAUAAAUCAAAAUUUUAAGAUUUUAAAAAAGUUUUAUCUUUUUUAAAACAAUUAAUUAAGAGUAUGAUAAGUAAACAAAAUUGUUCUUUCUUGAUUUAUCAAAAUGAACAAGUAAUUUGAAAUAAUUAUCUAUUUUUGGUGUGGAUUAAAAAAUGAUUGGUCCAGGGCUGGCUUGUCGAGCCAACCCACCUUUUAAAAAUAUAUUUUUUAGGACAAAAAAAUAUGCGGUUAAGCAAACUUAUAUUACUUAAUUACUCAUCAUAAUUAUAGUUUGUUAUAAUUAUCGCUCGCGACUAACAUUAUAUAUUAAUUAUGUGGACUGACAUUGAGUUUGUAUAAUCAGCCACAUCAAUCUAUAUUAUAAUUCGACGGAAUAUAUAAAUAUAUAUGUAUAAUAUACAAUUGUCUAAUAUAUAUAUAUAUAUAUAUAUAUAUAUAUAUAUAUAUAGACACACACAAUUCACCUCUCUCUCGCUCUUUCAAUCUCACUCGCCUCUCUCCUCUCUCUCCCAACCUCGCUUGUUUUUUUUUAUACAAAUGCAUAUGUAUAAUACACAUAUUAAUUCACCCCUCUCCCACUGUCAGCCCUCUCUUGCUUGCGUCUCUCCCAAUCUCGCUCGCCUCCCAAUCUCGCUCUCCGCUCUUCUCUAUCCUCUCUCUCCCAAUCUCACUUGCCAUAUAUUCAAGUAGAUAUGUAUAAUAUACAAUUAUCUAACCAAUUUACAUAUAUAAAUCACUUCUCUCUCGCCUCUCUCCUCUCUAUCGCAGUCUCGUUCACCUCUCUAUUCCCUAUUAUACGUAGCCACGAAUUGAAAUUAUUAAACUAUAGCUAUGGAGGAUAAUUAAGCUAUUUUUAGUGGCUAUGUGAAAGUCCCUUUUUAUAAUUAUUAAAUUAAAAUAUAAAUUAUAAUAUAAAAAUAUUGUCAUAAAUAUCGACAAAACAAUUUACAUGAAGUUUUUUAUUAAGUUUUUUCUCAAGCAAAAGUAGAAAUAUAUAAAUAGAAAUAUUUUUUUUUAAUAAAUAGAAAUAUUAACUUAAUUAUUUUGAGUUUGAACUCUAAAAUUUAAUAUUAUAUUAUAUUUUUAAUUAAUUUUUAUUGACCUACGAGCCGACCCUACCGAUAUUUUUGAAGCGCCAUAAAUAGUAGGCUUACUCAGGCCAGGCUAGAAAAUGUUUUUUCUUAAAGGAAAUCUUACAUAAAUGUACAAUAAUAAGAAAAUAUUUACCAUUAUAACAAUUUUUUUCUUCACUUGAUCACUUUUAAUUCAUUUAUAAUACAAGUUUAACAUAUAUUACAAAGAUCAAUUUAUUAUCAUAUACAGUACAAGUUUUAAUGAUGGAUAAUACAUUUAUCACACAUUUUAAUACAAUUAUUAUACAAUGUGUCAAAUUUUUACCAAACAAACAUAAUAUAUUUUGAAAAACAAUUAUGAUUCAUCUAUAUUGCAUAAAUAAUUCACUUUUAAUAGAUUUUGUAGAUAUAACAUAGUAUUGCUAUAAAUGGUAAUAAAUAAAAAGUAUCGCUAAAAUCAUUAAUUAUUUAUUAAAAUGUGUCAAUCGAUGUAAUUUUUCCUUUUUUAAAUGAGUUCCAAAGAUAUUAUUUCAGCCCUAUUAAAUUUUGGGUUAGGUCAGGCCGAUCCAAGAGACAUAAUCCAUAUUGACGACUCUAAAUAGAAGUAUUAUUUUUUUCUCUAAUUAUAUAAAAUUAUGCGUAAUAUAAUGCGAAAAAAUAUAAUAAUUUUAAACAUAAAUCAACUAUAAUUAUAUAGAAAUAAAAAAUAAAAUAAAAUAUAACCAAACUUAUUAGAUAUGCUAAAUAAUUAAUAACAGUUAUAUUGAUGAACAUGAUAUUCUAGUGUUGGCAAAAAUAAUUUUUUGUUUCUACUAGUAUUUUCAAAUAACAGAUUUGUUUUGCUUCACUCAACAACAAAAGUAAAACCAAUACCGUUUCCAUUUAAAUAAAAGGGCAACUUUCAUAUAUAGCAAAUAUAAAAUUCAUAUUUGUAUGUUUUAAUAAAGUUUGCAUAAUUUCGUUUCGUAGCAAACAUAUAAAAGUAUAAUUCGCUAUACAUAUACAGUCGAAACGAAUUGUAUAAAACGAAUUAGAGAUAAACUAUAUACAAUUUGAAUUUGUAUAAAACGAAAAAGAGAGAAAGACAAAAGAAGCUGGGCAGGGGAGUGUUUUUAUUGUAGAAUUAUAAGUGUAUAGGACGAAAAUAUAUAUAUUUACAUAUAUAUUUGCAUGUAUAAAUAUAUAUGCACACAAUUUUCUCUCAAGUUAUACAAACAGAAAUGCAAUUUAUACAUUUCGUUUCUGUUUGUAUAAGUAAGAGAGGCGAGGGUGGCGAGCGAGAUCUGAGAGAGGAACAAAAAUAUAUGUAUUUAUAAAAUUUUCUUUCGAUUUAUACAAAUACAAACACAUUUUACACAUUCGUAUUUGUAUAAAAAGUAACAGAGGCGAGCGAUACUGUCACUAAAAAAGAGUGGCGAACAAGAUUCCACCAAAGAGAGUGUCAAAAAUAGCUAUAUUUUGCUGUAAGGUAUAAGUAAAUCAAAAUACUUAAUUUAAAUUAAUAAUUUAUUAUUAUAUACAAUUCUCACUAAAUAAAGUCACUUAUAUUAAUUUGCGAAAAUACAUUAUUUUCAACAAAAAUACUUUUUUGAAAAAUACGUGUCUCCGCAAUCCCAAACAGGGUUUGUUGAUGUUUGGGGUCAGGGACUUGACGAAGAGCUUCAACAAAAGUUUGAAGUUGAAGCAGAGAAACUGACAAGUAAUGUUGGAGUUGAAGGCAAAGUUUUUGAAGAAAGCAGUGAUUUCUUCCACUCUAAUUGAGCAUCCAUCCCCUGCCAAUCUUCAGUCUACUCGUCUUGCCAUUCAUGUCCGUUAAUUCCCUUUUCUCAAAAUUCAGUUUUUUAUUUUGUGCAUACCCAAUUCAAUCUAACUGUUUCUCCUUUUUUUUUUUUGAGAGCAGAUGAAUGAUGAUAAUGAUUCUUCUUGUUGGGUUUACAUUGCAUCUGGCUGCCGCAUUUAUAAAGUUCUUGUAAGUCCUUUCCAUAAUGUCUUUGUACACGUAUAUAAUGAUGUAUUAUUAUUCAGUCUAGUCCUUUUGCUUUGUCUAUUGAAUUCCAGUAAGCUUAAUUGAGUUGCAAUCAUUCUAAGUGAUUGUGAUUUCAACACUCAUGUCUGAGAUGUCCUCCACACCUAUUUGCGCUUCUUGUUCGGGAGGUAAAUUACAAGCUAAUGGACGAUUCAGAAUUUUCACUAAGGGGCUCAAAAAAUAAAAAUAUAGUGCUUUGAGAUUUCAGUUCGGAACCUAAAAGAUUGAAUUUUGAAACUCCCUAAACAACUAAGCCAGCCUGUAGUCUUGUGUGCAAGGGAUUCCAAGUCUAUAUAUACACUAAAAAAAGAACUUUAUAUACAUAAGUGUAAUAUUUGUCAAGGGUAUUCAGAUGAACACCUUGCCCCCUCCUAGAUCAGACCAUGGCUAUAAAGAGACAGAGAGAUAGAUUGAGGUUGAGGGGAGGAGCUGAAUAAGCUGCUUUGUUAUACCACUUUGUUCUUUGUACUUAUCUGGUCUAUAUAUGAUGAUAAGUUCAUAUUGACUUCACAAACAUGCUUGAAGGCUAUUAGUUGCAUAAACCUAAAUGUGUUGAUAAACAUGUUGGAUUAAGAAGCAACGGAUGUUCAAUUUGUUUUCAUUUUCACUGUACAGAUUCCAAUGGAAAAUUCAUUGCUCAAUCUAGGAAAGGAGGACCUUCUAAUUCCUGAACAAUGUGAGGUACACUUGCCAUUUCUUAUAUCAUGAUGAAAGAUGUUAAGUGUGAAGUAGCUUACUAGUAUUGUUAAUUUGAAGGUUCUAGAAGCUUCAGUGGUCAAUCGUUGCCCGCAUCGAUCAGAAAUCCAAAGUAUAGUGCUAGCUGAAACUGAAAGUAAGAUAUGAAGAUAUUUACCUUUUGAAUUUUUGCAGCCCUUCGCGAUAUUCUGAAAAGCUUGUUGUUAUUAUUUCCUUAUUCUGAAUUAUCUUUUUAAUUAAUAAGAGAGGGAAAGAUAACAUAGAAAUAGUGACAGAGAAGAGGAAAUUUUGGAAAGAAAGACAAAUAGCCUGCUAUAUCAUCAUAUCAUUAAAUCGUAAAUCUUUUGUCGUAUCUUUUUUUAUAUAAGUUGGCAUUGCAUCAUGCGUAUGGUCCUGUAUAUUGAAGGGCUUUCUACCACUUCUUCAAGAACUUGCUGCUAUUGUUCCUACUAACUUCCCUAGUUUUUAGCUGCUCGGUCCUUAUUGCUACUACUGUCCAUUAGUUUGCAUGUAGUUUCUUUUAUGUAUUUGAAGUAGCUAAUCUUUACCUUUCAACAGCUUAAUGAUCUGUCUAGUUCUCUACAGGCUCUGGUUGCUCAAUGCUGGGAAGCGUGGAUUCUUAUGGUCACCUUAUUGUCUCUAGAUUGGAUGCCAAUGGUGACGGUAUCUCUCCUAUUUAUUUCUCAGUACUUAGCUGAACAGUGAUGGAUUCUGUUAAAAAUUAGCAUAAUUUUGGAGUUGAAAUUUUGGUUUACCUCUGUUAAACCUAUUUUUUUUCCAUUUAUAUAGGCGUAAUGCCACAGUUAGUUAAUAACUAAAUUUACCAAUUAUGGGGUCUGAUGUGCUCAUUUAAUAGUUUGGUUUUGCUACUUACAAUUUCACGAAGUAUCUUCAGUAAAGAUGCUAUAUUUAAAUUACUAUUACCUGGCAUAUAAGUGAAAUAGUGUACCAACUUGAUUUGAGAAACUUAUGAUCUUGCUAAUUUGAGUAGAUCUAAGAAAAAUUGUUAUUGACAUGGACCACCCAUGACUUUUACCGAUGAGUUAUUCCCACAUUUACUCUAGCAUGAUAUUUAGGUUACAGCUUGAUGAAUUCCUCAUAUUCUAGAUGUCAACGGGCUUACGUAUUCUGUCUCUCCUCGAGAUUGUGGUGUUGGAGAAGGUAGCUGGGCAGGCCUGUGCUUCAAUCCCACUCAACGAUCCAUGGUAUUUCAUCUCAUAUGUCUCCUAGGUUGGAGUCUGUAAUCAUUAAUGUUGAUGCUUCACAUCUGCAGCUUCUGCCUGUUCACUUUGAAGCAAGUAAUUGUGCCCGUGGGUGCAAAAUAGAGGCAGUUGGUGUGGAGGCGAGGCCUUGUCCUUGUCAGCUGACUAGUUUGCAAUCUAUUUCUUGUUGUGUAUUUACUAUCGUGCUUCAAUGUAUCUUGUGUCCUUUGCCUGAGAUUCUUCCAGAUACACUAGUCUGCGUUUUUUUGACCUCUACCGUUUACUAAGAAAUUUGAAAUGAUGGUAUUGGCUAGCACCCGAAUAUCCUCAUCUCUGAAUGUGCCAGUGCCUGUUUUUAUUUUUUUUGCUCCGUGUGAACUGGCUUACUAAGCUACACAACUUGUUGGUCAGUAUACCUGAUUAAAACAAUGGGUUAUUCUGGUAUUAUAUUGGCUAUUCAAAUGAACUUUAAUGCACCUUCUUUUUUUCCCUGAAACUUGUGAGUUGUGACAGUAACUCUAAGCACUUUUAAGUUGAUGAUUUGAACCUUAAAGGAAAAUGAGACGGUUGAUUUUUUUCUUCUGCACAAUCAUUUUUUUCCCUUUUUAACAUCCUCUCUGCGCGCGCGCGUGUCUUGGAAAGUGUAAGUGUUUCAUUUGUGGCAUAUUUCUUGCCUUCUGCCUGAAUUUCAGUAUUUCUGGCCUUUUCCCUCAGGCAGCUGUGGCUCACAGUUUCUCUAAAACCAUUGAUGUCUAUGACCAAGAUAUUCAUGUCCGCACCUUACGUCCGUAAGUGCUUAUCUUUGCUUCGGAGACGGUAGAUCAUUUACAGUAUAAUCUCAAGCUUUUCAUUUAUUUUUUGCUACUAUGCUUUCCAUUUUUGAGAUACUGUUUAUAUGUAUAGCAGCAAGUCACAAAAAAUCGUACAUCUAGUUCAUAUAUCCUUUCUAGACAGUCUGGACUGUUUUAUUCUCACUUGGAGGCAUUGCUAGACUACUACUACCAUGGAAGCUUUUCUGCUACUUUGGGCCUUUUAAGCAAUGUUGUUAAUAAAAAAGAAAACCAGUAAAACUAUUUCCUGAUGCUGAUUUAAGUACUCGUAACAGAUAUAAACAAAUCUGAAUAAUGGUUUCUGCAAACCUUCUUUUUGUGGAUUAAUUACUGUUUCCAUAAAGACAAUUUGACUGUUCUAUAUUUCUAGAGCUCUUAUAUGCAUGACUUGAGUCCUAAGUUUGCAUCUUUUCCUUUGUGUAGGGAUUUGUGUUGGCAUGUCUUUAGAUCUUAAUAUAUAAACCAAAGAACAAAAGAAAUCAAAAGAAAAUGCUUGGCAAUAGCUAUCGUGUAGAAGAAGGUCCACAAAAGUAUCUAAGAAACAAUUUAUAGAAUUGGUUGUACCUGGUUUUAUGAAAGAUUAUAAUUGACAUUUAUCUUUGAAAAGGGGGCGGGGGGUGGGCGGUUCAAUAAUCAAGGAUUCAAUCAUAAGCCUUCUAUUGUUGAAAACCAUCUCUUUGUUGCUCUGGUAUUAUUGAAAGCCAAAGAUUUAGUGUUAGAGGAAGAGAAUAUUCAAAAUGCUGAGGCACUACUGAAACUGUAAGAUCUAGCCAGGUUGGAAGAAAUAACUUGCGGCAGAAGUCUUGGUGCAUAUGGAUCCCACAAAGGUGAUAGGAACAUAUGGAUCAUUGAUUGAUGGAGGAUUGGCUGAAGAUCAGGAAGCCAUAAAAGAAGAGAUAUGAAGUAAUAAUCUAUUUAAAGAACCUGUCAAAUAGAGACUCUGCUUUGGACAGAAGAUAACCCCAAAUUUUACGAGGAAGAAGAGGACCGGUUCCAAAGAUUUCUAGUGAAUAGGCGGAGGACAAAGCAAUCAAAAUGUGAAGGUAGCUAAGCCCCUAGCCCUAAUGGUCUCACAAUGUCUUUUGACCAUAAUUGGCAGCCCAUAAUUAGGAGGCGCCUUCUGCAUGCAGUCCACAUACCUAAGAAUAAUGAGGUUGAAAAACUUGAGCACUUUAACAGUAGUAAUUCCAAAAAAAAUUAUUUAAAGAAGAGGAUUUUAAGCCUGUCAACCUAGUGGGGAGCUUCCACAAUUCAUCAUUAAGUUGCUUCAAAAUCUCAAAAAUGUUAUGAAGAAGCUCAUGGCUGAUACACAAACAACUUUCAUAAAAAGGGAGUCUAUAGAUUGUAUGCAUUACUGCCCAAAUCACAAAUGAAUGCUUAGAGAGAAGGAGGCAAGUAAAGCUGGGGUAAUCUAUAGAAAAAGGUUUCAAUCAUGUUAAUUGGAGUUCUCUGUUCUGAUAAGAGAAUGGUCUUCACUGAAACGGAUAAACUGCAUCAGUUAGUGCAUUUCUUUGUUAUAAUGAUAGUUGAUGAUAUUACUUUGAUACUAAAGUAAGCCAUGCACUUGACAUUGAUCUGUCACUUUUACAUUGAGAGAGGAAGUGUCAAUUGUUUUGGCCAUCUCUCACCUUACCUUAUAUAGGCUGAUGACAUUCUCAUAAUAUGUGAUACAGAUAAUAGACAGGUUGAGUAUAUAGAAAUCAUCCAUCAUUGGUUUUGGCCUUCUCUAGAUUUUAUAAUUUAUAGAAAACUGGAGAAAAGUUUCCUCUUUCCUGAAGUUCAGAAACUUGAGAACUGGCUGUCAAUUUGGGAAGUAAUAUUGGAUCUUUAUCUAACUAUGUACUUUAGCAUAUGCCUUUGGUGUGACCUUUAAAUGAGUGUACAUCUGUAGUGGAGUCAUUGAAAAUGUAAGGAAGAAGCUGUAAUUGAAAAAGGCAAUCCUUUUGUUAUGUGGGAGACUGACUUUAAUAAACAGUAUGAUGGAUGCUUCCCCAAACCAUGCAAUUAUCUUUAUUCCUAUGCCAGAAUGGAUAGAGGAAGACAGGGCUAGAAGAAAUUUCUUAUGGGAAGAGAACAAAAAGAAAAGUAGUUCUAUCUAGACAGUCUCCAUAUGAAAGCUAUAAUUUAUGUUGGUACCUAAGUUAGUGAGUAUGAGUUGGUUGUUCACAGGUUGCAGUAUGUAGAAGCUUUAUUAUCGUAGAUUGCAUUUUUAACACACGUGGUCUUUCAGAUAACAAAUAUUUAAUUUGUAAUAUUUUUUUUUUGGCUUAAAUAUAUUUGAGGAAUUUAUUCAAAGAAAAAAAAUCACAUUGCAGAUUGUGGCAUCCAUCUUCACUUAUGUUCAUGCAAAAUUUGGACUUAGGUGGUGGAAAUUCUGUAUUAGCAGUUGCAGAAGGUUGCCAGGUAAUGUUUCUAUGUUAUUUUGUUUCUUAUGUUAGAAUCAUGCAGAGAAUGUCUUGUUCUUUACUGAUUCUUUUCAUUCUCUGCACUCCAUACUGGCUUCAGCUGACAAUAUGGGACUUGCGAAUGAAAGAAAAGGGUGGUUGUGUGCGUCGAAUCUGUGGAUCUGUAGGAGAUAACUUGUAUGCAGUCUGUAAUUCUUCAAAAGGUACUAUUGCAGCUGGUGGAGCUGAUCGUACUGUGACUGUCUAUGAUCCUCGCAGGUAGUCUUCUCUUAAGGCUUUACUUUGCUUUUACUGGUUGUUCUAGUGUUUAUCUUACAGUGUGCUUGUGUACUUGAUCAAAUUUCAGAUAACCUGGAAUAUGCCAUGUUAAGUAAUUUGUUCUUGUUUGUUGUCUCAUACAUUUCUCGUCUUGUGUAUUCUUUUGAAAGGAAUAUUGCCAGUUAUAGCUCUAGGAUAUGUUCACGCUUAGAAAUUAUAUUGAAAACUGCAAUUUUCUCAGCUUUCUGUGUUUGCUUCAGAGUCCUGAUGGGUAACAUAGUUUCCGGCAGGUUUGGUUGGGUAAGAGGGUUGAUCUUUUUUUGCAACACACUGAUACAAUAUACAUUUCUAUUACAGAUGGUCAGCAGUGUCGAGAUGGCUAAACUGCUCUAAGUAUGAGGUUAAUCUUGUCCUCCCCCCUCUUACUCUCUCUCUCACUCACACACACACACACACAUAUACACACAUUUAUUUGUAUAUUAGUAGUUGUUUCUGUCAAUAAGGUAUCGAAGGAAUUUCUAAAAAGAAGUCCAGCCAAUAGUAUCCUUGUCUCAAGUGAGGCCACAAUUGAAGUUGUCUGGUCAAAAUUUUCUUUCAUCUCAUUUUUCGUUGCUUAAAUCUCAAGUAACAUUCUUUCUGGGUUCUUUUUCCAUAUCCUUGUUGUGCAUCUUUUCUUUCAUGAUUCUUUUAUUACACCUAUGCUUUGUGUUAUAAUUACUAAAAUGUCUCAUGCUGUUACAGAUAACUGGACUUGCUUUCUCUUCCGUUGAUCCUGAAUAUGUCUAUGUACAAGGCGUUGACUACGAGGUGACUAUUUCACAACUUACCUUUUAUAGUUUUCAUGAAUCUUAAAUAGAGAAUCUGAGUUUCAUCUUUACUCCAGCAUAUAUCCUCCCUUCCAUAAAACGUAGUACUCCAUAGAUCCAAGUCAUCCAACAUUGAUGUAAAAUUUCAGAACAGCUACUAGACGUUUACAUGAAUCUUAUAUAGAGAAUCUGAAUUUCAUCUUUACUCCAUCACAUAUCCCUCUUUCACUAAAACAUAGUAUUACCUAUAUCCAAACUUGACGUAAAACUUCAGCACAGUUACUAGACAUUCCUUGAAAGGAUGUUCAAACUCUUUUUUCGUUAUUCCAACUUGUAACCUCAUUUCCUUUAAACAUAGUUCUUCCUGUUAAAAUCCACAAUUGCUAUAUGCUUUUAACGUUGCAGACAACUCCUACCAAAGUUAGGUACUUUCCCUCUUUCUUUCUCUCCAGGACUCCGAAGUCAAUAUCUCCCCUUACAUGGUAGAUUACAUGUUCAUCUACUAUGAUUACAAUGUUAUUAGUAAAAGCAUAAAGCAAAAAGUAAAUUUCUGAAAAAGUAAAAGGACAAAGCAAACUGUUACAUGUGAUACCUGGUUCUUGCAAUUUAGUUGUUCCCUUCUGCAGAUUUUUUUCCCUUUUCAUCUUUAACAUUACCAUUCGCUAUUGCCAAUUUUGAAAACAUCAGUCUGAACAUAGAGACCCUCGGCGGUCUAUUACCCUCGGGUGUUAUCCAUUUUUUGUAAUUUUGAGGGCCAAAAUGACAAUGUUUAUAACUUGAGAAUUUAAAAGGAUUUGUACCACAUCUAUCUAUGCUUUUAUUUUAAUUCCAGGCUAUACGCGGUGCAUUUGGACUUUUGUCCCUGUGACUCUAUUGUUUGAUAACAAAUUUGAUAUAUACUUCUUAACAGGUCAUCUGUGGACGAUGGCAAGAAAGCAAGAAAAUAUUUUCGUAUCGAGGAGAUUCUAAUUGGCUCGGAUUUAGCAAGGUAAGAACAAAGUUUAAAUGUAGUAUGCUAAUUAUCCGAGCCCAGUUGGCUAGUUUGCUGUAAAUAAUUGGCUCGGAUUUAGCAAGGUAAAAUUUACAUUUGUAUAAGACCUAACAUUCUUGUAAACCAUUCGGGGUGGCCCAGUAGUUUGGGCUUGGGACUUCCAUGUUGGAUGUCUCAAGUUCGAAAUCCCUUGCCAACAAAAACAAGGAGUUUGCCUUUUGGGUCGGGCUUGCCUAGUGCACAUUACCUCUCCUAUGUGGUUUGCGAGCUAUUGCAGGGUUUUACGCACCCAAAAGUAGCGGCUGCGGAUUUCCUCAUCAUAAUCUUGUAAUUUCACCUCCAUUUAAUUCAUCCAAUUGUUAUUUUUUGACAGUGUUCAGACAGGGAUGUCUUGGGGGGUUGGUCCGACUCAGGUAGCUUAUUUGUCGCUGAUAUCCGUGCAGUGAACGGAUUACACCUUCCUGCUGCAACCAGUGUUUUUUAAUUUGAUUUGAUUUUACGGCGGGGCAGGGCGUAUGCCUGUAAGCCCCCAACGUUAAAUUUUAACUUUUGUUGUUUUGAAGUAUUUUUGCUAUAUAUUGGUGUUAUUUAUACUUUAUGUUAUUAUGUUUGAGAUAACCUUACCCGUGUUUUGGAGUUAACGCCUAGCCUACUGUUGUAUAAAACACCUCGCCUCACCUUUAAAUGAACUUGUUUCUCUUCAUCCUGCAUUUUACUCCAUCCUGUACACAAGUCAUGCAACACUCGAGCCAUUUGUUGGUUAACAGCAUCAAUUAUCUUGAUAAGAUUGUCGUUUAAAACUCUGUAUGAAAAAGAUCAAGAGUGCCCCGAAAGCCCCAAAGAACGGAAAUGGAAUUUGAUUUGUGUGGUUCCUUUUUACAUAUUGAAGUAUUGAAUAGUGUUAUAUGAUAUUUAUUGUGCAGAGACAUUACAAAUAAUAGAUAAAUUAAUUGAAUCGCAGCAAUUUAAUUCUCAUAUCAUCAUUUAUUGGAAGAAAAAAGAAGAGAGAAAGCGUUACAUAAGUUUGAAAUGGUGUACUUAUUUACUACAGGUGAAUGAGCCAACACAACAAGUUCUUUCUUUUUCUUGUUUUUGGAAUUUCCUAUCAAGACUUUUGUCAAAAUUAUUCUCUUUGAUUCAAAUUACUAUUAUUUUGUAGACUUUACAUUAAAUAUCUGCUUUGAUAUAUGUUAAUUUAAAGCCAGUCCAAUUUCUUUUAAGUUGUUUCCCCCAGAAGUUCUCAAAUUCAAUGUCUGAAGUUGAGGAUUCUUAGAUCAAACAAAAUUAUAUGAAGUUUGAACUCAUUCAAAUAUCAAGCAUUGUUUGAUACUUUUUAACUUUAGACACAUACGGAAGGUUAAUAUUUGGAGUGUUAACCUCAUUAUUUUCAACUUCAAUUUAGCAAAUUUGAAUACGACUUUCAAGACUAUUAAAAUUUAAAUUUUGAAUCAAUAUAAACAUAAAAUAUUUUUAAUUAAUGAAAUGACUUUUUAUUUUUUACAAUUACAAAUAUUUUGAGAAGAAGUCAUAAAAAAUGACCAAUAUGUUGAAUUGGAGCAAAUUGAAGGAGUCAAUUUAGAUGAAUCUUUCAAAGGUCAAGAUAUGUAAGCAUUGAGGAGACAAGAUCAACUUGCACUAAAGCAAUUUAUUUUCUUCUCAAUUAUUUUUGGACCCUAAAAAAGUUUAUUGAGCUCCAAUAGGGUUGGGUCCACCCCCAAAAUAAAACUUUUGGACAAUACUUAAUAUGGACCUACCUUUAUCUAGACUAACCCCUCCAAUGCCUAUGGAAAUGUACCACCUCUCCACUCCAAAACCCUAACUACCAAAAACAAGGAAAAGAAAUACUACUUUCUCUGUUUCACAAAAAAUAUCCUGAUUUAAUUUGGCAUGAAAUUUCAAAAAAUAAAGAAAAUCUUUGAAUCUUGUGGUUCUAAAUCAAAGUUUUGUUAAAUGUACAAAAAUAUUUUUUAAUUUUGUGGUCCUAAACAUAGCAUGUGAAAAGCAGAAAUUAAAAUUUAACUUAAAAAAAAAGAUAUCAUUUUUUUUACAUCUUUUUUAAACAGACUAAAAAUAAAAGCAUGUCAUUUUUUAAAAAUGGAGAAAGUACUAUAAAUUAAAUAGAUAACUCAGUUGUAAGAGAUUAUUCUUUUUUAAACAGACAAAAAAUGAAAGGAGGUUAUUUUUCUUUUGAAUUAGAGGAAGUACUAUAAAAUUAAGUAGAUAACUAAGUCGUAAGGAUGUGACUUAGUGCUAAUUUUUCUUAUUUAUCCGAGUGAUGGCAUUUCACUCCGUAUAUAGGUCGAUGUCAUGAUUUAAUUGAGGAUCAUUCAAAUUGAUCUGGACACCAAAAUUAUAAGAAAAUGAAUAGGUUACUUAAUUUAUUUCUUUAUUUUUUUAUGUUUCACUAUUCUAAUAAAUGCAAGUUGCUAUCAAGGGUUUUUUUGAUAGUGACAAAAAAUCAGUUUUGGAACAAAACUAGUAAAAAAAUUGGGAUUAGUGAUGGAACUAUAUCCUACUAAUUUUUUAGACUGUGGACCCUGGAGUUCUGGGACUUUGCAAAAUCACAUGCUUUGUGCUUCUUCCUUCUUUAAAGUUUUUUUUGUAUAAAUCUAAUUUAGUAGUAGCUCAACUUUUAAUGACUUUUUUUUGUUCAUUUUUAUUUUCUCAUUGUAUAUAUUAAAAAUAAAUGUUUCAUUUUACUUGUUUAGUUUUUUUUUUAAUCUUAUGUCUAUUUAAUCUUAAUUAUUACUCCAUUCUGUUAAUUACUUCUUUUAAGGAGUCAAAGUCAAAUUGAAUAUGAAUAAAUAAAGAUAAAUAAAUGAAAUGUUACUACUUACUAGUAAAGGCAAAACAAAUAAGAAAAUGAAUUUGAUUUUCAUGGCUAAAAGUUCACUUAAUUAUCUUACUUUUCAAUCCCCUAAAAAGUGGUUUAAGGAUAGGCCAUAUAUUAUGAAUAUAAUAUAAAGGAAACUUUUGGAAAAGUGAAACUUGAAGCACAAGUUUUGGUACUUUUUUUAAUGGAUAUUACUAAAUACUAAUCAAUUAUUAGGAGUCCUAAUUAUUAAUCAAUUAACUCCUGAUUUGAUUGGUUUUCUACAUUUGACUAGUUGAUUUCUAGAGAAAUUAAACACCUCAAAACUUCCCAUAGAUAAAUAGUGGCUAAACACCUAAUAUUUCAAAAUAAAAGGAAAAAAUAUCUUGUUGCAAUAAUAUUUAUAAAAGAAAAAAUAGAAGAUAUUUAUUUCUCCGUGGAUCGCUUGAUCGAUGGAAUAAGAAAUUUCAAAUUUUGAAAGUUAAUUUUUUCAUAUUUAGUGCAAUUUUUUAUAUCAUAAUUAUACCUAUUUCUAUACCAUAUUUUAUAUGGGACAAAAAUUUCAAAAUUACUAUAAUUUUUUUUUUUCGAUGCUUUCUCCCAACAUUUUGUAAGAGAAGUCCAAUUAAACUAAACACAUGAUAUAUAUAUCUCAUUUUUAAUCCAACAUAAUCUAAUAUUUAUCAAUAAAAAUAUAUAUUACACUAAAGAAAAUCCUAUAAUUAUUUAAUUUUUAUAUUAUAAUUUUGAGGAUGACUGGCCAGCAAUCAACCCUUUUUAAAGGGGAUAAGAGAUGCAUAUUGAUACGUCCUCUUAGACAUGUGGAUAUGUUUAAUUAAAAUGCUAUAAUUUUUUUAAUCUAAUAAAUAUUAAUUAAUUGUGAUUCCAUGCUUCUUAAGCUUAUGACAUAUCCCUAUUAUAAUUCUGAUAAUAUUAAAAUAGUUGAGAGGACGGAACACCACAAUAUUAUAUAACAUGACCCCAUCUAAGUUGGCCAUUUUAUUUAAGUAUGACAACAACAACUUAAUAGUUCAAUUAUUCACAAAUUCUUAUGACAUUCUACCAUAUUAUCUUUGGUGAUUGUGAUAGAUUUUUCUAAUAUCUUAAACCAUUUAAAUAUUUUAUACAUUUUUGCGUUGCACGAUGAACUUAAUUAUUAAAAAAAUAUCUUCGAGAAGAAGACCCCAAACCUACUAACUAUAUAAUAUAAAUUCACGAUAUCUACGAUAUAAAUUUCUUUUGUUACAAUCUAUUAUUUGUUUUGAUGUGAUUAAUAAGAUAUGGAUCUUUCAUAUAUCUUAACUUGUAUAAUGUAUAACGCAUGAUGAUAUAUAUAAUGUUAAGAAGAGUUGAACUUUAAAUUAGAGAAAAUAUUCACAUGUUUUAGUAGAGUUAACUGAUAUUCAUUGUUAAUUAAGGAGGAUAGGAAUAUAAUAAAAUUGACUGAUGUAUAGAUAAGUUAAUUCGAAAAUCAUGAUUAUAAAAGAAUAAAUAAAUGACAACUAUGGUGUUUGUUAAAAGUAGGAAAAUAGAAAGUGACAAUAGGUCCCAUUGCUGAAUUCCAUCUUGGAUUUUGAGAUAACUAUGUGAUGUUUAUAUGAAUUGUUCAUAUUGGUUGCUAAGAAAACAUGGAGUAUAAUUAUUAAUUAAGCUACCGAUUAAAGUAAAAUGGGGAUUUUUUCCGAUUAUUCUCAGAAAAUGGUUUGUCUCAUACCUUUUUUCCCUUUUAAACUCUCUAAAGAUGCACCUAUAUUAGUUUUUAAAAGGGCUAACUUUCACAUAUAGCAAAAAAAAAAUUCAUAUUUGUAUGCUAUAGCAAAGUUUGCAUAAUUGCGCUCCAUAGCAAACAUAAAACUGUAUAAUUCGCUAUACAUAUACAAUUGUAUAAUUCGCUGGCCUAAAUUGUAUAAUUCGCUGGCCUAUUUCGCUGCAAUUAUAUAAUUUGCUUUGCAUACAGUUGAAUCGAUUUAAAAUGUGUGUAUAUUGCAUAAUUAUAAGUGUAUAGCAAGAAGAUAUAUGUUUUUCUCGCUUUAUACAAAAACAGAAACACAAUAUAUACACUUCUGUUGUAUAAAGCUAGAGAAAAUUGUAUUUCACUGCAAUUGUAUAAUUCGCAAUUGUAUAUUCGUUGGCCUUUUUCUCUGCAAUAUUUGAAGUAAAAUGUUUGUAAAUUGUAUAAUUAAGUGUAUAGCACGAAGAUAUAUAUUUUUGCAUGUGUAUAUACAAUUUUCUCUCGCUUUAUACAAAACAGAAAUAGAAUUAUACACUUCUGUGUAUAAAGCGAGAGAGGCGAGCGAGAUUUCUGAGAGAGAGACGCUGGCAAAUUUUAGAUAACGUAUGCUAUGGAGCACAACUAAAUCAAACCCUAGCUAUUUCAUUUAUUUUAGGUUAUUAGUUUGCUAUUAUAUAAAAUUUCUCAAUAAUAUGAAUUGGAUAUUUAAUUAAUGAUAAUUAGUUAAGUGUAUGUGUUUUUACACGUGUAAAUCAUAUUAAUUAAUAAUAAUUAUAUAUGUAUGAAAUAAACGCAGUUUAUGAUUACUUGCAGUUUUGGAUUUGUUAUUUAUGUUUAGUUAAGAUUUGUUAGUUAGUUAGGCUCAUAGUCCUAAUUUACUUUGGUCGUUGUUAGUAUUAUGACUUAUGAGUUUCUAAUUCUAGUUUACUAUGGUUGUUAGUAUUAUAAAUAAAAGUAACUUAUUACAUACACUCGAUGUGUAGAGAGAUACACUCGAUGUACAAAAAUACAAGAGUUAUUGAGGUUAUUUAAUAACUCUUCUACCUCCUAUUUGUUGAUUAAUAGAUUUCUUCUAUAUAGAGGGUGUUUGGUACGAAGGAAAAUGAUUUUCUACAAAAUAUUUUUCUAAACCUGAAAAAUAAGUAGAUUUUGGACUUAUUUUUUCAUGUUUGGUUGUUGAGUAGAAAAUAUUUUUUUGAAAAUGAUUUUUAGUGUUUGAUUUAUAAAUGAAAAAUGUUUUAAUAAACAUAUUUUAUUUUUACUAGAGUAGAAAAUAAUUUCUGAAAUUUAACAUAUUUUUUAAAAACAAAAUUAUUUUUUUGGGGGGUGGGGGUGGGGGCAGGGGGAGAGGGGAGGGGGAGGAGUGGAAAAAAAAUUGAACUUGAUAAUAAUUUUUAAAAAAAAAUUGGGGAGGGGGGUAGGAGUUUAAAAAUAAAAAUUCAAAGUUGAAAAUAUUUUUAAAAAGCAAAAUUAUUCUUUUGGGGAAAGGGGGGGGGGGCUGGCCGAUGGUGGGUGGGUGGGUGAAGGGUUAGGGACCGGGUGAAAAAAUAAAAUUUUGAAAUUGAAAAUAUCUUUUAAAAAUUGAUAUUUUUUUUCAAAAAAAAUGUAAUUUGAAAUUAGAGGAGAGUUUUGGAAAAUGUUUUCCAUAAUUUUUUAAGGAAAAUCAUUUUCCUUAAUUUUGAGAAUAAUGAAUUGAUUUUAAAAAAAAUUUCAAAUUUUUUGUCCCAACCAAAUAUUAAAAAAUUGAAAAAUAUUUUCCAGAACACACUCAAAAAAUCAUUUUUUGGGGUUUUCACUCGUGCAUAUAUUACUGCCAUGAGUAAUUUAUUUCUUUCAUAUUGGCUUGUGUGUCUUGAUAAAAACUUCGUGUGAGAUCUGACAUUUACAAAAGAAUAUGAGUUAGAGGUGGCUCAAUGCCUUUAAAGAUGAGGCAUACAUUUUAAUCUCUAAAAUUGAAGGGGUAAUUUUUUAGUUGUAAUAAAUUUAUUUUAAGUUUUUUUUAACAAAAUAAAUAAAUAAAUAAUGUUUUAAUUUGUUUUGAAACAUUAAAGAGUGUUUCUUUUUCAUGGAUCAAGUUUUAAAUUUAACUUUCACAUGGUAUAUUUAAAAUCACAAGAUUAUAUAUAUAUAUAUUCAGUUUAACAUUAUAAAAAAAUAAUAUUUUUAUUAAAAAGGAAAAAAUAACCUGAACAUCAUAUAUCUGCUAUAUGAGUAUUUCAUAUUUACCUAAAUGCCCUAUUAUUUCUUUUUGUGUUUGAUGGCAAAAAUAAUUUUGGAGUUGAUAUUACAUAUGAAUAUUUUUUUCAAAAUUGUUCAAUGGUCCAUUAUUAAUAUUGGAUUAGUUGAAAUGGAAUUAUAAGACAUAAUUAUAUUUACGUGGUGUUAUGGAUGUGAAGAGAGAAACUUCAACAACUUUGGAAAUAAUUUGAAUUCGCUCAUAUGAAACCAAUAUAAUUAAUUAAAUAUUUAGAUUCAAAGAUGUCGAUAGUCUAAAAAUUUAGAUCCAAAGAUAUUGUCGCUGGUUUAAGAAUAGAUUAGUAUUAGAAGAAAGUAUUAGAGAUUCAAAGAUAUUGUUGAUGGUCUAAGAAUGAAUAAAAUAGUAUUAAAAGAAAGUAUUAGGAUAAGUUAAAUUUAACUUCUCUCAAGUUAAAGAGUUAAAGAUUUUCAGACCAAAAAGAAUAGACGUUGAGUCUAUGGCAAAUCUGAAUAUUUUAAAGCUUGGUGAUCUAAAUGGUAAAUUUACCAAUCUCUUAUAUCUAAAAUUAUUUCAAAACGAAAAUAACAAUAAUAAUAUAUCUAGUGAAAUUUCACAAAGUUAAAACUGAGCCAAAGUAAAAAAAUGAGUAAAGUAGAGUAUACAUAAAUUUUAUUACUCCCUCAUGAAUAUAGAAGUUGUUUACGGGAAACCCUUGAUUUAAGUGUACCAAACUAAAGUGUAAAAUUUACCAGAGAAAAACAACGACAACAACAAAAUAAAUGGGAAAACAUAAAGCAAUAACAACACAAGACCACUCACGGCCCUAAACCUCACAAGGAUAAGAUAACACUCUACGACACCUACUAAUCUUGUACAUAAUACACAAUUAAUCACCUCUUCUUUAUACUUUUUCGGUCUUCAAAAUCUUGUAUUGUGCACUUGACCAAAUAAAUCAAGUUAUUUAUAGAAGGAUAAGUAUAUUACCUGUGUGAAGCUCUAUUUAUUUUUUGACACAUGAAUAAGUGGGUCAUUUAUGUACUGCAAAAACUUUUUACAUUUAACAAGAAAGAGAAUAUACUUACACAUAAAUUGAGUUGAAAAAAUAUAAAAAAUGCAAGAAAAAUUAUGUGUAUUUGCUACUUUUUUUUAAUCAUUAUUAAUAUUAUAUUAGUUUGUGGAAUUAUAGUCUUAUAAAGGAUAUAUUGUUGUUAUUGUAGUUGUAUAUUAGUUUCACAAAUUUAUUUUGAUAUCAUAUUAUUCUGUGUAUUCAUGUUGUGUUUUUUUUUAAAAAAAAACUUUUAUAAUUUUUGUGAUUUUUAAAUGUAGUCACUUUAAUUUAGUUGUUAUAAUUUGAAAUGUCCAUUGUUACCUUAUUUUUAAAUUAGAACUUCUAAAGGAAAAUAAAAAAAAGUUAAUUAUAUUAUUAUUAUUAUUAUGGGGGUGAUUGUUUAAAAUAAAAUAUCGCUACUCAAAGAAAUAGUUUUUGAAAAGUUUAAACUUCGUUUAAGUUAGUAAUUUUAAUGAAUAGUCUAUACAUAUUAAUUAUGUUGGUACUUGCAAAUUUAGAACUUAAAACAUCAGGUGGAUGAUAAUUAAUAGGCAGAAAGUACAGAAAGUGGUAUCAUAAUUCUUGGUGACUUAUAUAACUAAACGUAUUCUAUUCAUCUCCUAAUUACCUUACCAAUUUUCAAAAUGAUUAUUCAUAUUCUUGACAAUUUUUUUGUGGAAGAAAUUCUACACACACACACAUAUAUAUGUGGUGUUUUCUCCUUGAGUUGAAUAAAAAAAAGGAUGCUGAGAAUUAUAUUGUGUUUAUAUUAGAGGUUAGCAAGUAUAGUGAUGAAGAUUAAAGCGAGAUAAGAAAGAAAUUAUAUAUCGAAUGAAAGUGUUGUUUUGAUGGAGCUUUAAAUUUUCGACUAAUCUAAAGUUAUUUGAGUUAUGCAUAUACACUAUUAUAUUCUUAAGUGGAUAAGUCAAAAUAAUAUUACUGUCUACUCGAUUGAUAAAUAUUAUAUUAUAAUAAAUUUAAAUAUUUUUUUAAAAAAAUUGUUUCAAUCCAAAUACUUAUUUUAUUUUUUUAAUAAUAACUUUCUAAAAUUUAUAACUCAUUCAUCUAAUACAUUACAUUUAUUAAAUAAAUAUAUCAUUUAAAUUAAAAUUAUUAAAUUUUAACAAAUUCGUAACUGACUCAAUUGCAUUUGACAUUAUCAAACUCAAGAAAAUGGUAGAAUUCUAGAGAAGUCUAGCGGACCCAGUCCGUCUUACGCCCCAAUAAAGACAUAUCUCUAUACUUCUUUGACAACUGACAACACUCACGCUUUCACCAUACUUUUUGGGUCCAAAUUAAUUAAUAUUGUUUAAAAUUAAUAUAAAGAUAUUAUGAUAAUAAAUAUACAUUUUUUUAUAAUAUUUGUAACUUGCAUUAUUUUAUAUUUUUUAAAAUAUAUAAUUUCUGAAAAAUUUAAAAUAUUAAGUUGAGUUAGGACAGAGGAAGUAAAAUACAAGUUUUAUGCAUUUAUUUGAUUUGACAAAACAUGUGACGUAAGUAUUUUCACUAUCGUUGUAUUAUAGUGAUGAAUACUUGGUCUUCUGCUUGUUCAUCCACGAAGACCUCUUCUUCUUUUUUUUUUUGGGGAUUUAAAAGAAAUGGAUUAAUUAAUUUCCUAUUUUAUAUAUUAUUUUUAGUACAAAAUGUACUUUUAAUUUGAGUGCUACAUAUAGUAGUGACGUACACUUGAGAAAAGAAACGGGUAGAUGAUGAUAAUAAGAACGAGCGCCGCGCUAAGACAGGAAGAAUAUGUCAUGUUAAAGAGUGAAGAAUAAUUUUCGUUUUAUGUAAAUUACGUUUUGAGGUAAUGCUGAAUUUUUUUUUAAAAAAAAUUACUGAUUUAGAUUAUAAUAUGGUUAUAUUAUUUAUACAAUUAAAUUUGAAGAAAAAUUAUCCAAUCAACAUUUUAAAUAUUUUACUUUUUGAUACAUUUGUCAUUUCAGAUAAGUUUUACACAUAAACUAAUCGAUUUACUUGCUAUUACAAAUUUAGAAUUUAUCAAGUUUGAGGCAGAAUAACGUAACUAAUUUAAUUUGAAGGGAAGAAUAUGCUAUUCUCUCUGAGAUUAAUACUAUUUUAAGGUAUUAGAUUCAAUUUUGUUAAUGGUAAAUUAAAUAAUCUCAUUUCUUGAUUAAAAAAAUGAAUUUGAUUUUUAUCUCAAUUACAUGAUGACUAACAUGUAAGACUCUCUCUCGUUUGAGACGUAAGAUAAUCAAUUAGGUUUCUAUUUUUUUUUUCAAUUAGAAGCCAAACAUGUCACUAUUAGAAUAUAUUUAGUUAUGUAAUUUCUUAAUUAAGGUAAAAUAAGAUGAUAACGUUGAGUGGAAUAAUUAGAAAUAUUAACACCUGUAAUUCUCUAGAAAUAUAUAUAUAUUUCUUAAUCAUGUUUAUUCAAUAUUACCUCUCCUGUUCAGUUUAGUCGUAAGUUGUAAUGGUACAUGUUACUCUUAAAAAAUAAUUAAUUUUGUUAAAUUCUUAAAUUAUGUUAUGCAUUUUUUAGUUUCAAUUUAAUGCUACUAAUUAUUUUCAUCAUAUUAAUCUUUUUAAAUAUUUAUUUGGUAAGGGUAAGGUCAAAACUAAUAUACAAUUAAUUAUUACUUUUUAUUUAAAUUGUUAUUUUAGGUCUUUCAUGUUUAUUAAAAAAAAAUUACUAUAGAAAAAAGGUGUAAUUUACCAAGUUAUUCAUAUUCUUACUAAUUUUACCUUUAUAGAUACUUUCUUUGUUUCAAAUUUAAUGACAAUGUUUGACUUGAUAAUUAUUUUAUAAAAAAAUAAAAGGCUUUUAAAAUUUAUAAUUUAAAAAUAGCUUUAGAUAUUUAUUUGAUUCUAAAGUGAAAUUUGAUAAUUUUUGGGACAAAUUAAAAUGAAAUAUGCGACUGUAUAAGUUAGGAUCAAGGCAAAAGUACAGAUUAAAAUAUAGUUCCUAGGUUACACGAAAACUUAACUAAAUAGCAAUACAUUCAAAAGAAAACAAUUAUUUAUAUGAUUCUUUUAUUAUGUAAAAUAUCGCUUAUUUAAAUCAAAAUAAAAUAGUAAAAAUGUCACUUUUAAUCUAAAAAAUCGAAUAAGAGGAAUCGAAUACUUCUAUAAUAUAAAGAAUAUAAUUUGAAAAUAAUUCUCAAUGAUACUCCUGAAUCCUUAAACUAACUAUUUUGGAAUAAAAUGAUAAUGAAAAUAACACAUGAGUAUGUCACAAUUUUUUUAUAUCAAUAAGCAUGACGAUUAAGAUGGAUCGAAAGAAUACUCUUCUCAUUUUAAGAAAAUGAUAUUUAAUUUAAAAAUUAAAAAUAAUUUUUUUUGAUACCGCAUCUUUCAACAUAUUUUUAGAAAAUAAUUAUGAAAUGUAUGCCUAACUACAUUUCUAAUAUCUAUUAUCUUAGAUUAUAUAAUAUGUUUCACAAGACUCUGUCAGCUGAGGUGACCAAAAACGUUCACCCAAAUAGGACAUAUUAGACAUUUAAUUUAAUCUCGGCCCUUAAAUCAAACAAAUAAAGUAAAUCCAAUGGAUAAAAGUCAAUAUUGUAGAUUAUUCUUUUUGAAAAAUUUAUGUUACACGUUCUUACAUUGGCCCAUCUAAAUUGAACUUCAUACGCGUUCCUUGCGUGUGAUAGUACGUGUUUACUUGAAAAUUUAAAUCAAAAUAUUUAUUUACGUCCUAAUUAAUGAUACUUAGCCCUCAAUUUGGAUAUAUUCCCUCUGUUUCUGUUUAUUUGUUCAUAUUUCUUCUUUUAAAUGUCCUUAUUUACUUGUCCAUUUUGAUAAAUUAAGAAAGGACAAUUUUUUUUUCUAUUAUACACUUAUUUAAAUUUCUUGAAAAUUUCAUAGUUUUAAUUCAUCAUCCUUAUUGAAACCAUAUUGAAUAAGGGUAAGAUUGUAACUUUCCUAUGUUAAUUAUUGUUAUCUUAAUAUGUAUGACUUUUAUAAAGUGGACAACUAAAUAGGAACAGAGGGAGUAAAUAAUUUUGAGAUUCUAAAGUUGUUUCUGGAUAUGCAUGUUAUUUGAAAAAAAAAAAAUUCGUGAGUAAAAAAUUUCUAAUAUUCAAAAAUUUGUCUCAAUCAAUUUUUAAAAAUUUGAAAAUAUUUAAAAUUUUAACUAUAUUUUAUAAUUAAAUAGAUGUUGAAAGAUGAAUUUUCCAAUAUUUUAUUUAAAGUUUAUAAGUUAUAAUCAGCCACUAAUUUAAAGAAUAUUUAUUUAAGUUUAUAAAUCAAUCAAGUUUGGAUUAUAAAUAUUUUUAAAAAAUUUAUCUAUGCGUAUGAAAAGUACCAUAAAUGCUUAUUAACCAAAUCAGCUCAACUGGUGCAUUUCAACUUUCGAGAACUUUUAAUUUAUUAUUUAUCUUUUUUUUUAAUUUGAUAUAUCCAUCGUAUCUCAUUUUUUCUUUUUUAACAAAGAUAUAAUUUUUUUUUUAUGUAAAAUUACAAAAGCUUUAGCAAAAAUAAUUCAUUGAAUUUCCAUUUAAGUUGGUGGGUACCUUUUUGAGAAUUUACAAUUUUUACAAUUAUUGAAAUUUCUCUUUCAUCCUUUUUUUUUUUUUUAUAUAUAAAAAAAUAAAAUAAAAUUCCAACAAACCCAUAUACGCGGUGGAAAUUGAGCAGAAUAUAAGGGCGUUUUCCUGCUGUUAGGGUUCCCAAAAAAAUCCUCUCUCUUUGCCUUUGUAGACUUUGUCUUCUUUCUUCAUAAUUCAUUGAUUUUUUCUUAAUCAAUCUUUUCGUUUGCAUUUGAUUGUUGAUAAUUUGGAGAUUUUAAAAGCCAAUUUAAGUUUUUCAUUGCUUUUCUGGGUUUGAUCUCAAUUUCGCGUUUUGAGAUUUCAAAUUUUCAAUUUUGGUUUUUUUUUUGAGUGUUUCAUGUGAAAAAAAGAGUAAUCUAGAAAUGCCAGUUACAGAUUAUCAAGGAGCAUCUGCAUCUUUCACAAAUUUUGGGAGAUCUCUUUUGAGUAUGCGUCGAGAUCAGGUGCAUUCCAUGGAAGCUGCUCAUGAGGCGACUAGUCAAGAGAUUGAACUCGAAGCUUUCCAGAAGCAAGUGGCUGAGCGUUUUAAUGAAUUAUCUUCUGUUGAUUCUGAUCAAUUGCUUUCGGUUCCCUGGAUCCGUAAGCUGUUGGAUGUGUUCCUCUGUUGCCAGGAGCAAUUCAGGUCUAUUUUGUUCAACAACACUGCUAAUUUGAACAAACCUCCUAUGGACAGAUACGUCACUGAAUAUUUCGAUAGGAGUGUGAAGGGAUUGGAUGUUUGUAACGCGAUAAGGGAUGGAAUUGAGCAGAUAAAGCAGUGGCAGAAGCAGUUGGAGAUUGUUCUGUGUGCAUUGGAAAAUCAGAGGUGUGUUGGUGAAGGUCAAUUUCGUCGUGCUAAGAAGGCUUUGAUUGAUUUUGCAAUUGGUAUGCUUGAUGAGAAGGAGUCUAAUACAUCUGUGGCUCAUAGAAACAGGUCAUUUGGCCGAAACAAUACUCAGAAUGAUCAUAAAUCUUUAGGCCAUUUUAGAUCAUUGUCAUGGAGUGUUUCUAGAAAUUGGUCUGCUGCUAGGCAGCUUCAAGCAAUUGGUAACAACUUAGUUGCUCCAAAAAAUAACGAAAUUGCUGCUACCAAUGGAUUAGCGUUGGCUGUUUUCACAAUGAGUUAUGUGUUAUACUUUGUAAUGUGGGCACUUGUGGCAGCAAUACCAUGCCAGGACCGUGGGUUGCAGACCCAUUUUUAUGUGACUAGGCAAUUCGUUUGGGCCGUCCCAAUCCUAUCACUCCAUGAAAGGAUUUUGGAGGAAUCGAAGAAGAGGGAUCGUAGAAAUGCUUGUGGAUUGUUGAAGGAGAUUCAUGAGAUGGAGAAAUGCGCUCAUCAUAUGAAUGAAUUGAUCGAUACGGUUCAUUUUCCAAUCACAGAGGAAAAAGAUGGAGAAGUGAAGCUAAGAGUUCAUGAACUUGGGCUUGUUUAUGAUGGUUUAAAGAAUGGAUUAGACCCUUUAGAGCGCCAGGUUAGGGAAGUAUUCCAUCGAAUUGUUCGGAGCAGGACUGAAGGCCUCGACUCAAUCGGACGAGGGAAUCAUGAGUGAAACAAUUGUUGGGAACCCAUCAAUUUAGAAUAUGAUAUAUAGAUUUUCCCUUUUCAGUUCUUUUCUUUUUUGGACCUUUUUUAGAUGAGGGAGAAUGGUUAAUGGUGCCAGAAAAAUAAGUAGUUUAAAGAGGUGAAAAUAAUGUAUUCUCACUUCAUAUUUGUAAAGAAAUUUAGGGAAAAAAUGGAUCUUUGAUUCAUUUUUGGUGAUAAUCAUCUUGUUUGGGAUUGUAUAAUCACUUAUGACUUAAGUUUGCUUUUCUAACUCUUUAGCUGGGUUUCCUUUUUCAGUUUCUUUUAGUUGUUGUUGCUUGCAAUCUUGGUGUAAGAGACUCUGUAUGCUUCACUUACGAGAUUACAUUGUUUGUCGUUAUUGAAUUAGAAUUUAAUUAUUAUGAAGCUUAGAAAAUGAGUUUUACAGUAUAAAGGAAUGUCAUUGACUGUUCAGUUAACAUUGUAGUGAUUUUCUGUCUCUGUUCAUCACUUGACCAUUCAGCCUCUGGAAUGGUCAUUUUUAUAUUGAGAUUCAUUUUAUCCCAAAAAACAUUGAUACUUUUGGAGUUGGCUUUGUUGGUCCUUUUUUGUUCUGACAUUAGAGCUGGCUUGCUGUUUUCUACAUUUUCUCAAGUAUCUUCCAUGAAAAAUUUUAAACAAUUCUUCAGCAUGUGAUUUUGGUCAAAAUUCUGGUUUCUUGUUGACUUGGACAUUGUUUUUAUUUAUGGAACCCACGUUUGUUAAUUCUCCUAUGUGAAUAAAUGAGUCAGGUAAGACUAGCAUGACUUUCUUUUCUUAUUCUUUUUUUUUUUUGUCAAAUGAACCCCGGUAGGGAAUGCUUUAGCUCAAUGCGAGAGUUUUUUAUUUGAAUUUAAACGAGCAAUUUUUUCAUAUAGUAAAUACUAAUAAAUAUAAUUAUAUAUAAUUCGUUAUACAUAUAUAAAAAAAUCAAUUGUAUAAUUUGUUAUAUAUAUACGAAAGAAAGCAAUUGUAUACAAAUCAAUUGUAUAAUUUGUAUAUGUAUUAAACGAGAAAUAGAGAAAGACAAAAAAAUAUUGAGCAGGAGAAUAUUUGUAUUGUAUAAUUAUAAAUGUAUAGGACGAACAUAUAUGUAUUUGGAAAUGUAUAUACUAUUUUCUCUCGCUUUAUACAAACAGAAACACAAUUUAUACAUUUUGUUUCUAUUUGUAUAAGCUAUGGAAGCGAACAAGAUCUGAGAGAGUGGCGAGAGAGAUCUGGGAGAGGGGAACGAAAAAAUAUAUGUAUAUAUAUAUUUUUUUUCUCGCUUUAUACAAACAGAAACACAUUUUAUACACUUGUGUUUGUAUAAAAGUGAGAGGGAGCAAGCGAGAGAGGGAGAGUGGCGAGCGAGAGUUUGAGGGAGAGAGGUGAUUGACAAACAAUUUGCUAUAGGUCACAACUAAAUCAAAGUGUGGUUAUAACAUUUAAUUUGAUUUAUUAGUUUAUCAUUAUAUAAAAAUUUUCCAAUUUAAAUUUAGUUGGAUUUCAAUAUAGAUUUUAAACAUCAGAUGGAAAACCAAAAGAAAAUGUAUUGGGACAAUUUCCGAAGUUAUAUACAUUGACAAGGUAAAGAAUUUACACUAUCAAUGCAGUCAAAUUCAGGCAUUUCAGUUCUUGGUCGUUCAACAACCUUUAGGCCGUUUGGCCAUAGAUUUAUCAAAUAAUAUUUGGGAAAAAAUUUGGCAAAUAAUGUUUGUUCAUCCAAUUUGUCAUUAUUUUGACAAAUAUCCCAAAUUUUCAAAUACUAGUUUUUUUUAGUAUUUGGGUCAAAUCUCGGAUCUUUUAAAAAUUAAAAUUUUAUCCCAAACUUUUAUCUUUUACAAAAACAUUCUCUAUAGUAGUUGUUUGCGUUGUAUUACAUAAUUUUUUACGUGAACACCAAAAUGGGUGAUGAAAUAUAUAGUGAAUAUUAAAUAAUGAUAUGAUUGUUGAUGAAAAUGAUGAAAAAUUAGCUCAAGCUAACAAAAUCAUGUGUUUCGUCUACUUCACGAUGUAUGUAAUGAUGUUUGUUGCACUCACUCCAAAUUACCACAUUGCUCUAGUGUCAUGAACACUAUUUGUUAUUGUUGUAACAAACAUUCAAUUGACUUGUAAUACAAACUUAUAGUUAGUUUUGAUAGUUUUUAAAACUUACGAGUAUAAAUCAUAUUUUUUAAAAAAAGAUGAAAUAUAUUUUCCAAAUCUUAUGGCCAAACACAUAGUGAAAUUUCACCUAAAUUUUUAGUUAAAUAAUAUUUGUAAAAAAUAUUCAAAAAUUUAUGACCAAACGCUAACUUAAUAUGGAGUUAUUAGUUUCUAAGAUUCAAAAAUUGUGAUGUUAAGUCUAUAUAUUUAUGUGUUAUAUACUACUUUCUAAUAUAAAAAUAGUGUAAUUUGGGUCAAGGACAAUGGGGGCUUCAAAUAGGUUAUUAUUCUAUUGUCAAGAUAACAAUAUCAGACUUGAUAUACAAACUUACUUGUUCUAGUAAAUCACCUUUUAAUUAUAAAACAAACUGUAUACAUUACCGUAAAAUGUUUAUGUCUGCGUUAAGUGUACACAUAUCUUACUUCUAUUUCUGAGGUAGAAAGAAAUUUUUUUUUAAUUGAUUCUCAGCUCAAGAUAUAAUAUUCUUGAAAAGAGGAAGUAUGGAAGUAUAAAAAACAACAAAUAAUAACAAAAAAAAAAACAGCUAGUAAUAGAACAAAAACUUCAACAACAUGAUAUGAUAAUUGAGGUACAAGUAACAAAGUGUGAAGAACAAGAAACUACAUGAGCAAUAUUGACUACUAUAUAAACGAUCUUUUUUUAGUAACCUUUUGUUCUAAUUCGUAUUCUCCACACCUUCCUACACUAUAAUGUAUAAAACUGAAACUUUUUCCAACAAAUCUUGUUAGUUUGUUAAUAUGAUCCAAACACCAGAAACAAACAAAAGGGGCAUCUUAAAAAAAAAACUUAAUCAAUCUCACAUGUUUGAUUAAUUUGUCAAAGCAUUGAGAACAUGGUAAAAAAAAUUGAACUCAACCCCUCCUACCCCCUACCCCACACCCUAAACCCCUUCUAGAUUUUGAUAUUUUUAUGGCCAGCUAAUUGCUCAUUUUGAGAACUGGAUCAUAGCUGGCAUGUUUGUUAACAUCAUCAAUAAGUUCAAAAAUCAAGAUUUGACAUUAUGCAAUAUAGUAGUAGCUACUACCAAUUGGAUAAUGAGAGGCCACUAAGUGGUAAGAGAUAUUUGAGGCAUUCUUUGAAUGAAUCUACAAGUCUUUUGAAGGGUGUGCUUUAAUUGCCAUAUAUAAUAAAUAUAUGUUGCAUAUUAGCUGGCUGAAUAUAUAUAAUAUUAUGGCAGGCAACAAAGAAAGUGGACCUCAACAUUUUUUCCAAUAUCUAGGACAAGUUCUAUAUUAAUGGCUUCUAUCUAUAGGACAAAAAUGAAGUAACUGCCAAAUUAUUGCUUUUUGACAUUAUUAAAGUUUUAACCAUAUUGACCUCAAUGCCAGAUUAUGUUUCUCUUUUUUCAAUCGAUAUUUCAGAAGCAGUCUCUUUAAAUCACUAGUAGGAAUAAGAUUUAUGCAUGUUCUAUCUUUUUCAGAUUUAAUUUUGUAAAAUUAUACUAAAUAUAUUAUUGUUAUUUGAUGUUUAUUGUUUUAUAACGCUUAUUUGAAUGAUUUUUCAUUCUCUUUUAUUUUCUUAAUUUAAUAAAGAAUGAGUGGAAUACAAAAGUUAGUAUGUGUAUAAGAAAAUAAUUGGAAACCUAACCUUGCACGAAAUACCAACGAACUAGUGCAUGCAUCCUAGCUCAUUGUGGGAUUAAUUGAUAACAUAUGUAUGUGGUAGUCAUCAUUAAAACAUUUUGUGAGAAUUUGUUGGUAUAUUUUAAAAAACAUUAAGAGUAUUUUUUUUAAUGUUUUGCUUUAGAUAUUUGUUUUUCAAAACUCACUGACUCGACUAUUCUGAUAAACCAAUUAAGAAAGUACUUUUUUUUGUCAUUUUUCAAAACUCAAAUCUCUAUCAAACUAAGUUUAAGCUAAUCGAGAAAGAGAGUGAGGCUUCCAGCCAUAUUCGAAAAGUUGAGUAAAAGUUGUAUGUUUGCCAAGGCAAUAUUAGAUAAGAUCCUACGAGUCCUCUUAAUUUUCAAAAAAUGAAAAAAUUUCAACUAUUUUAUCUGAACGGUGAAUAAUUUUUAUUUAUUGAAUUAUAUAAUUAGAUAGAAACAUUAUAGAAAAUAACUACUAACGAAGCAGCCAAAUAAUUAGAUGCAUGAAAAUGUCAUGUGGACAUCUCAACUGCUACUUACUAACAAGUUGCAAAAUUUGGAAUAAGAUUGAACCAUGCCAUUGACAUUAUAUUAUAUUAUUAUUUAGCUUCACGUGACAUCAUUGAAUCCUUUAUUAAAUUCCAAAAGGUCUUCAAUUCGUUGGCACAUCCUCUAUAGAAACCCCUAUUAUUUAGAGUAUAAAUUAAUGUUGCCUUUGAUAUUGGCCAAAUUAUUUCUUAUAAAAUUCAACAAGUAGGUAAUAUUUUCUCAUUUUUUGAGGGUUGCCUAAAAGCAUUAAUGUAGCUAUAAGUUUUUUAGAAAAAUUCUAUUUUAGUAAUUAUUUAAUGUUUUUUUACAAUUUUUUUUUUGGAGUUGAGUAUAGAUUAUAUAUAUAGAAGAAGUUUUUUUUUUUUAAUUUUUUAAUUUUAUGGUUUGACUUUGCACCUAAUUGGUAGAAUGUAAAGAUUGUAACAGCACGAUUCAUCUUUAUUAUUUAGCGAGGACAGCUAAUUCGAUAACCAUUUCAUUAAUUACCAUUAAAAUUGUACAUAAGUUUCUUAUCCAUUAACUUCCUUUUUAAAGCAAAGAGGCUAUCUGAAUAUUUUCCUCUUUUAAUAAGAAAUAAUUUGUGUCAUUAUUAUUUGAAUGGAUAUUCACGGCAAUAAAAAUAAUUUUUCGCGGUAUUAAAUAUUAUCAAUAAUAAAGAGUGUUAAAAUUUUAACAACAUUAGUUAAGUGAUAUUAAAAUCAACGCCGCUAAAGAUUCCAGGGACAUAUAUAAAGAAUGUUAAUUGUCGCUAAAAAUACAUAUUUAGCGGUAAUUAAAAAUUAAUUGACGCUAAUGAUAUUUUUUAUGUAGUGAUUUUCUGUUUGAACCAUUAAUAUUGAAGUGUUUUUGUAAUUAUUAUUUUAGUGAACUUCACAUAUACUAAGUACUAUUAAAACAUGUUAGUAUAAUAUAUUAUUUUAAAAUUCUUUUUGGAUACACCGGAUGUGAUGGAAAACAAAAACAAUUCUAAUCAGGAUUAACUGGGAUAAAUUAUAGAGUUACCCCAAAUAUUAUUUUUAUUAAUUGCUUGGUUUGUUACGUUUGUUUUAAAAUGAAUAUGGUGUAUCAAAAUAGGAUUAACACGCCAUUUUGUCAAUAUUAUUUGUAUAAAAAUAAUAAUCAAUAAUAUGGGCAAUGAUAUGAUAAUUCACUCAAAUGAGAUAAGAUUAAUAGAAGUAUAUAUAUACCAAACUUAUAAUAAAUUUGAAUUGUCAUUUUCUAUACCUACCAAAAGUAUAUGAGAGGCCAAAAUGAGAAAAGGUCCCUCCUCUUCCAGUAUGUAACCAGUUUUUAUUAUGCUUUAAUUACCAAAAGUUGGUUUUCUCUCUCUUUUUAAUUAGUACUAUAUAUAUAAAAUAUAAAUAAUAAAUGAUGACAGUUUUUUUCUAUUAUAGAAAAUAUUCUUGUAUAAAUACUUUAUUAUUAUUCACAAUUCCAAAAUCACAAUCUUUUCACUUUGUUCACUCAUUAUUUAUUAUAGUGAUAAUAAAAACACAAGAUAGAUCAAUGAAUUGAGUGUGUGUUGAUUUUUGAAAAUAAAUUAUUGUGGAAUGAAUUGAUUAUUUUUUAACUUUAAGUUGAUUGAAACUAAUCCUUGGAAUUAUUCUAUUUUAUACACACAAUUUAAACAUAGAACAAGUGAGUGAUCACAAUUCAGAAUUAAUAACAUAAUUAAAAAUUUAAUAGCGAAGCAAGAAAUAGAUAAAUAUUUUAAAUUUUUAAAAGCUUAAUCGAACAGACUUUGUUGUUAAUCUACAUCCAUAUUGAUGGAACAAGAGCAUAUUAAGACUCAGUUAAAUCCACCACAAACACAUCACAUGGAUUUGGAAACCAAAUGUCCAAGUCUGAGCCAACUUAUAAUGGAUCAUAACUGACUCUAUAGUCUUAUCAUUGAUUUUUUAUGUAACUUUUUAAGUUGGAGACCUAUCACUUCGUUCUUCAAUUUAUUGUAUCCACAAGUUUUAUUAAAAAGUUGGUGUUUGAAAAUGUAUGAAACAUUAUAUUACAUGUCCAAUUUAGGAUAAAUGUGCAAGGCCAAGAGCAUUAUUAGUGUGUCUUUAUAAGAGAUUAGGCAUCAUAUUAUGCCUUUACCAUUUAUCGACAUAAUGUCAAACUCAUCUCCCCACUCCCACCCACCCACUCACUCUUAAAAGCAUUGAAAUCAUAUGACUAUGAAAUCUAAAAUUAAUCACUCCAACCACCAAGAGUACAAUCAGCUAGAAAUUUUACGAAUGGUGUUCAUAAAAAAGGGAAAAAACUUUUGCUUGUGAAAUUUAAACACGACUCAUUCUAGGCAUCUGGAACACAUCAAAGGGUUCUAAAACUAAUGGGCUACUGCAAUCUAUUAUGUUAAGAGUAUCUAGAAUAUAUUAUUUAAUCGCUUUCAUCUUUAUUGUCCAAGCGCUCCUAUUUCUGUUGAAAAUAUAAUCAAAUUUUGGACUCCUGAUCCAUGGGCCUUGGUGUGAAGGGAGUGUUAGAGUGGGUAAAAGUUUCUCAUUGGUUGAGGGAUGGACUGGUGGUCUCGUUAUAUGGACUUGAGCAAGCCUCCCCUCAUGAGCUAGCUUUUGGGAUUGAGUUACCGUCAGUUGUGAUAUCUUCACGCAAUUUCUCUAGUUGGAAACAAGAAAAUAGAUUUUAUAUAAUAUAUAGAUUCACAUAAAAUUCUGGAUUCAACACUUGUUAGUACAACAAAAGUAGAAUAAUAUUAUUGGAAGAUAUUAAUGGGCUAGGACCUAUUCAUAUUUGAUGGACCUUUUUAAGUUACUGACUAGUGUCAGUAGACCUAUAGUAUAAAUAAUUUGAAAAAGUGUGCGUUGUAAAACAUUGAUAGAAGAAGAAUUUAGAAUCAACCUAAUGCAAUACUAAACUUAAAAAGUGUUACAUUGUGGAGUACAAAUGAAGUCCAAUGGAAGGCAAUGUGCACAUAUUUAACAAGGCCUUUUCCUUUUUUGCUUGCCUAUCCCACAAGACACGCCAUACAAACCCCACUCAUGAAAUUACACCGAUAAUGUUAUUAUUGUAGUCAAACUUUGACAAAACUUCGAAAACAAACUUUCAUGUAUAACAAGUUAUAAUCCUUGAAUCAAAGUAUAAUUUGUAAUGAAGCAAAGUAUAUGUUCUUUUACUCUCAUGUUUAUGUUAGGCAUAUGCAUUUGCAUUGUUCUGGACUUGAAAAAAAACAAACUUUAUUUCAUCUAGCAUAAUCAAAGUUCUUGUAGCGAAAAACCGCGAAAAAUGGAAAUGGAAAUGGGUCUCAAACUAACAAGAGUUGCUAAUGAAUCCUCUUCUACUGAAUUUCAAUUUGCAAAAGACAGAGCUGGCCCUCUUUUCCAGUCUACAGAAACAGACACAAUGUUCAUCCUUACUGUCCAUUUGAAAGGUAAAAUUUUUCUCUUCAUCAUCAUACACACAGUAAUUUUUUUCAUUUUCAUGUUCAUUUGUACUUACUUCUAAUAUGUAUAAACUCUGUAUAUAGGUUAUAUACAAGAAAAUAUUAAGGUUGAUAUUAAUGAAGAAGGGACUAUUAUUGCGAUAAGGGGUGAAAAAUCGGUUCAAGAAACGGUGAUGGUAGGGUGGAAAUUGAUCAAAAAAGAUGUAGAAGUUAGAAAAUUUAGUAAGGCUUUCAAGAUUCCAGAUGGGGUUAUCUUGGAUGAAAUUAAGGCUAGAUUUGAUGAUGAAAUAUCCAUAUUGACAAUUAAAAUGCCAAAGAAAGUAAAAGGGAUUCUUGGAAUUGAAUUUGUUGAAGUGAAGGAACAUGAGGAAUUGCCAAUUGUAGCUAACAAAAUUUCUAAAAAAGUCACAUUUAAAGAAGAUAUGGAUAAGCCAAAAGCAGAGGAAAAUCAAGGAAAACCACGUGAAGUAGUCCAAAAACAUGUUGUUAAGGAUGAAAUGAUGCCAAAUGAAGACUCAAAACAUGUUGUUAAGGAUGAAAUAAUGCCAAAUGAAGACUCAAAACAUGUUGUUAAGGAUGAAAUGAUGUCAAAUGAAGACUCAAAACAUGUUAUUAAGGAUGAAACAAUGCCAAAUGUAGACUCAAACAUCCAGAACAACGAUACGAUUGAUGAAACAAGAGAGGCUCGAGGGGAUUUUGUAGGUCAUGAUAAACCUGAAUCAUCGAAUUCGAGGGAUGAACAUAAAGAUGAUCAAGCUAGUGUAACAUCAAGGAAAAGGGAAGAUGACAAUGUGCCUAAGAAGAGCUCAAAAAUUUGUGUGCCUAUUGUUGCAGGAUCAGCCUUAAUAUUAUCUCUUUUUGUGUUUGUAAUUCAUCUCAUAAGAACUAAGAAUCAAUCUGUGAAAAGAAAAGGUUAAAAGGCUAACAACAUAGUAUGAAUGUUGUUAUUUUCUAAAACCUUUUUCUUUUACUUCUUUCAUUUGAUCGUAAAAAAAGAGAGUUUGGUGAUUACUAGGUUCAAUUUGUUGUGUUGUGAGUUUGUAAUUGAGCCUAUAAAAGCAUAACAUUGUUAUGGGCACUUUGUAUCACUUUUCUUUAAGGUGCGGUGGUGGUGUGAUUAUGGUUGUUUGGUCGCUAGAUAAGAAAUAAGUUAUUUAUAUGUUAAUUUUCGUAUAACUUCUACGUCGUUUGAUAGGUAGAUAGAAAAUGAGUUAUUUAUAUAUAAAACUAAUAUGUUGUUCGGUUGGUGGUUUGAUUAUGGUUGUUUGGUAGCUAGAUAUGAAAUAAGUUAUUUAUAUGUUAAUUUUCGUAUAACUUCUACGUCGUUUGAUAGGUAGAUAGAAAAUGAGUUAUUCAUAUAUAAAACUAAUAUGAUG